Molecule: ribosomal RNA, 434 nt
Filed under: uncultured Clostridium sp.
Lineage: Bacteria; Bacillati; Bacillota; Clostridia; Eubacteriales; Clostridiaceae
Description: partial 16S ribosomal RNA
Rfam family: Bacterial small subunit ribosomal RNA
Source: RNAcentral
ACGGAAGGCAGCAGUGGGGAAUAUUGGGCAAUGGGCGCAAGCCUGACCCAGCAACGCCGCGUGAGUGAAGAAGUAUUUCGGUAUGUAAAGCUCUAUCAGCAGGAAAGAAAAUGAUGGUACCUGACUAAGAAGCCCCGGCUAACUACGUGCCAGCAGCCGCGGUAAUACGUAGGGGGCAAGCGUUAUCCGGAUUUACUGGGUGUAAAGGGAGCGUAGACGGCUUUGCAAGUCUGAAGUGAAAGCCCGGGGCUCAACCCCGGAACUGCUUUGGAAACUGUAGAGCUAGAGUGCAGGAGAGGUAAGUGGAAUUCCUAGUGUAGCGGUGAAAUGCGUAGAUAUUAGGAGGAACACCAGUGGCGAAGGCGGCUUACUGGACUGUAACUGACGUUGAGGCUCGAAGGCGUGGGGAGCAAACAGGAUUAGAUACCCUGGUA